Molecule: long non-coding RNA, 2653 nt
Organism: Papaver somniferum (opium poppy)
Lineage: Eukaryota; Viridiplantae; Streptophyta; Magnoliopsida; Ranunculales; Papaveraceae
Exons: 2
Source: RefSeq, a predicted model, not a curated record
AGAAUUAGAGGUCUCUCUCUUUUCGACGGCUCUUUUUUCGCUCUGCCCUCUCUCCUCCCUUCCCCUGAUUUUCUAUUCCAAAAUGUCAUGCGAGUAAUUCUCUUUUGUGAUUCUUCCCAAGCUAGGAAGGGAGUAGAAUGAUGGGGAUGUUUCUGAUACAAGCUAAUUCAAUAGGUCGAUUGAUUGAUUGUAAAACUGAUUGAAAUUUUUUAUUGCUGGUUCUACAUCUCGCUUUCAGUAAUUUUCAUCAUCCAUACUUUUCAUCAUUUUUGAUUGCAUCUCAUCAUUUUUAUCCUCAUAACCAUGUCUGCAUACUUUUCUCCAAUUAUCUUUGCAAUCUCAUUACAUUUCCAGAACUUUGUUUUUUAUUUUAAAUUUGUUAUUUUUCUUAGCAUAUUUUUAUCUUUCUUCCUCGAUCUUUGAUGCUUAGUCCAAUGAAUUAAUCCUGUUAAUAUAAACGGUCGUGCAAGAUCUUAAACCAACGGGAAUAAUUUCUAAGUUUUUGUUUCUCAUCUCUAAUCUCUCAUCAUCUGGUCUUUUCAGAUUUAUUCAAUUAGAUUCUUAUUCAGCCUUUACAUAAUCUCUAUUUCUAUCUUUUUGAUCUUCCUUUCUCCGGCUCAUAAUUCUCAUCUUCCUCUCCUUUUAUGUGUCAUGUGAUCUACUUCAUUGAUUUCUUGAUAGCUAUUCGUAAUUUCUUCUCUAAUUUUUCUUUAGCCUGUAUCUGAAUCAAAAUAGGUCUUGAGAAAAUUAAGCAAAAAAAAAAAAAGAUUUUUAGGAUUUUUUUUUUUUUACAAGACCUCUGCUUUCCUAAGUUUAACAAAAUACUUGUUAUUUAAAUCUACCUGUUCUACUUUCCAAAAUCUUGUCAACUUUCCUGCUUAGGAGGGUACUGAUCUUCUUUCGCUAUAACAUUUUUCAUAAUCUAAGCCUGGUAGAAACUCACUUUUGAGAAUCACAAUAGAAACAAGUUCAUGCCUUGUCAUCUUAGUCUGAUUUCGACUAAUAAUCUUCACCUGAUUAGGAUGCAUAAUUUUCUUUUCUCUUCAUCCUUCACAUAGGUAAUAAUGUACCCGAUGUAUUUGUCCUUUUCGGCAUCCUUUGACUCCUGUAGAAGAAACCAAAACGUUGUCUGAAACCUGUUGAUGAUUACACUCCUUAUUUUCCCUUCUUGCUAAUUUUCUUGAUGAGAGAGAGUUAAAGUACGCAAACAAUAGAAAAUAUUUUCCGUUCUACCUCUUUUUUACACCCUAGCACAUUUAUAGUAUGUUCAUUUCCAAUUUCUAUGCGCCCUAAGUUUCUUAAGAUUGAUUUCCAAUCCUCUUAAUCUCUCCUCGCUUAACUGUCCAGAAAUCUUCUCCAAUCCGUUAGUCUGCUACCCUGCUUUGUCGUAUACUUUUCUCUCCUCAAGUCUCCUAUUUAUUCAAUUAUUUUAUAACCAUUUGAAAAUUUUGCUAGGUCUUGACCUAUCAUGUCUUUAACUCCUUUUCAAAAUAGUUGUAUCCCCCAAAUUGUCGUAGUGUCUCAUCUAAGUCAGUGAUUGCUUCCUCACACAAAGAAAACUCGUAUCUUAAAUUGUUUUUUUCCUUUUUUUAUAGUUGUGCUUCUCAGUCACCUAUCAUAUGCAUGGCUGAAAUUUAUUGGACACCUUGUUUGUCUCCCUUCUAUAGUUAGGUACCUCGCUCACGGGUGUGCAUUUUAGUAUUCCUAAUUGCAUCUCAUAAUAUUUAGAAAUUGCAUCUUGCAUAUCAGACCGAUCUGAUCUAACUUUCGAACCUUCUCGAUCCGGCUGAGUCAACUAUCAAUCCGGAUUCUGGUUUGCUACAACAUUCAGCGUUCUCGGGUUUAUUUCCAACGGAUUCUCUCCCUUUCUAGAAUGAUGAUUAUCCUUCUCAUCUUACGAAAUUAAAAAUGAAUCAUUUGGAUUCCAAUCUUCUGCAGUUCUUCCCCUUCUCUUCUAACCCUGGCUUCUGAUUAUCUAUAAUUUUGCAUCAUCCUCAUCAUCUGGUAACUAUAAAGUCACUCAGUCAAUAUUUCAAAUCAAUCAAUUCGGAUCAAAUCUUAUAGAGCAAGGAAAUGAAUCAGAAUCAUAACCCCCAUCUCGUUCUCAAUAUCUCCUUCUCCGAAGCGACGGGAAGAAUUAAAGGCUUCCGUUAACUCAAAUGCAAUGUUUCCGUCUUCACCAGCUGCCAAUGUUUCUGAAGCUGGCACGGCCACUGCACCAGCUCCUAAGAAGCGUAAACAAACUUCAUGGGUAUGGGAACACCUUGAAAAAGACCCUCAACCUUCAAUAUUGGCACCGUGUAAGAUGUGUAAACUGAGACUUAAAGCUGGCAUGAAAAAGAAUGUGACUAGAUCCUUGAUUACCCAUUUGAAGAAAUGUAAACUUGAGAGGAGAUUCAAGGUACCAUCUCGUGUCACUAUACGACGAGAUGUUAUAGAAUUGUUUGCAUAUGAGAAAAAGAGAUUGAAAAACAAAUCUGGAGGUGCAAAUGCAGAAAUUGAAUCUCGAGUUUAAUUUGGAUUUUGAAUUUGUAAUAUUUAUGUUUUGUAUUUUGUCUUAAUCACAUAUAAAAUAUGUGAACUUAGAAUGUUUAUGAAUUUAGAAUGUGUAUGGAAUGUGAAUGUCUGCAGACUGUAAGUGGAUUAAAAAUUU